This 412-nucleotide ribosomal RNA is filed under the name uncultured eukaryote. Its description in RNAcentral is "SSU rRNA". It matches the Rfam family "Eukaryotic small subunit ribosomal RNA", at positions 567 to 990 of the family's 1831-position model. The record is from RNAcentral.
CCAGCAGCUGCGGUAAUUCCAGCUCCAAUAGCGUAUAUUAAUGUUGUUGCGGUUAAAAAGCUCGUAGUUGAAUCUCUGAUCGGGACGACCUCCUCACCCUAGGGUGAUGGUAGCUGUUGACCUGGUCAUCCUCCUAGAAUACGGUGCCUCUUAACCGGGUCAUCCGUACUAGGACUAUUACUUUGAGGAAAUUAGAGUGUUCCAAGCAGGCAUUUGCCCUGUAUACAUUAGCAUGGAAUAAUAAUAUAGGACUUCGGUUCUAUUUUAUUGGUUCUGGACCGAAGUAAUGAUUAAUAGGGACAGUCGGGGGCAUUCGUACUCAACAGUCAGAGGUGAAAUUCUUGGAUUUGUUGGAGACGAACUACUGCGAAAGCAUUUGCCAAGGAUGUUUUCAUUGAUCAAGAACGAAAGU